RNAcentral lists this unclassified non-coding RNA (3372 nucleotides) under Hevea brasiliensis (rubber tree). Lineage: Eukaryota; Viridiplantae; Streptophyta; Magnoliopsida; Malpighiales; Euphorbiaceae. The record is from RNAcentral.
UCAGUAAGAAGUUUCGUCAAAAACCUAAUAAAAUGCAGUGAAUCAUUUUUUUUAAGGAGCAAAUCACUCAAAAUCUUAGCACAAACUGUACAGAGCAUAAACAAAUAACCAAAACAUCAAUCCACAUCACUAAAUGCUAGGGUCCAUAAUUUUAUCUUAAAUUGCCAAGCCAACCCAAAUAAUAAAAGAUUAUUUAUUAAAAAAAAUAAAUAAAAAGAAAAAAAAGGGGACAAAAUCACAAUAUGAUGCUUAACAUACAAUAUCAAGUAACAAAUAUGGAUUUUAUGAUGAUGCCAUCAGUGUCAUUACCCACCAAAAAACAAACAAAAGCACAUUUGGAAUUCAUAUGGCAACAUUCUCUUACAACACCGUAAGGAAAUUCCUAUAAGAAGAAAAAAGAAAUGGGGUAGUGCUGAAAAUAGAUUGGUGGUUCAAUGCAAAACAAGAAAUCUCAAAAAAAAAAGUUUUUGAAAUGAAAACUAUAAUUGCAAAAUAUAAGUGGUUUAAUACAGGAUAAGAAGUCCCAAAAAAAAAACAUGUUGAUAAUGAGAACUACAAAUUCUGUUUAAUAUAUUGGAUACCAACUAGUUUGGGAUUAUGGCUUAAUUGAUUUGAGUAUGCUAGAUACCAAGUGGAAUGAAGUGUGAAAGGGCAACUAUUUGGCAUUUUUAUAUAGGACUUGAGUGUUUCAAAGAAAACACGAAAAAUAUAGUACUUCAUCUACAUUCUAGAUAAAACAUCUUCAAUGUUAAGAAUGUCAAGCAUCCCAAAAGACAAAAAUGAAUGCAGUACAAUAGCAUAACAAUCAUGUUAACAUAAAAUUUCUUUUGUGAUUCUUUUUAUUUGAUCAUCAACACAUACAUUCCCUUUCAAUGAUUUGUAUUAGAAUUUUGAAUUGAAGGGUGGAGGUGAAUAAUUGGGCUUGAGGUUAGAAUUCAUGAAGCAUGAAAUUUAAGCUUACUUGGGUUUCGACCAACCAUUGCUAAAAUGUUAAAACUAACCUACUAGUUAGUGGGCCUUUUACCCUUACACAUUUACACAUAGUGUUUUAUUAGAUGUGAGAUUCUUAACACUCCCCCCUCAAGUGGCAACCGAGAUUGGACAUCCAGUUGGCACUUGAAACCCUUCCUUUGAAACCAAAUUCGGUCUCACUAGGACUAACCAUCCAGACGAGCCCAAAACUAAAAUGUAGCGGCAACACCGGGAAAUUAAAUUGCAACCGAGCCUGACUUACUUUGAUACCAUAUUAGAAUUUUAAAUUGAAGGGUGGAGGCAAAUAAUUGAGCUGAAGGCUAGAAUCCAUGAAGUAUGAAAUUUAUGCUUACUUGGGCUUGGACUAAUAAUUGCUAAAAGGUUAGAUAUAACCUAUUAGUUGGUCUUUCACCCUUAUAUACCCUUUACGCUUGGUGUUCUUUUUAGAUGUGGGAUUUUUAACAAUUUGAAACUAUAACCUGCAGUCAUGGUCAUAUUCAAAGAAAAUGAUCCACACCUAAAGCUCUAGGCAAUGGGGUUUCCGUGAGCAUGGUUAAAGCCUCUAUUUGUGAAACCCCAUGGUGGAGAAUAUCCAACUUUUUGAAUGGUCUAUAAGCAAAUAGGUGAGGGGGUGCAUGGGGGCAAGCCCCUCAUGGUACAGUACAAUAUUGUUAGCCCUGGAUGGUUCUAAUUAUGAGGUUUUAAUCUUGUAAUUAAGAGUUUCUCUUAUUACUAGUGUAAAGAGGAAAAAUCCUACUCUAUAUAAAAAGGCACCUCUAGUGAACAAUUGCAAGACGCUUUGUAGGGACAUAGGCAAAUUGCCAAAUUUCUUAAGUUCUUCAUGUAUUAUUUUCUCUCCUUUUGUGUUUGUUAUUCUAAUUUCUGCGUGUAUGUUAUGUGGAUUAUUUUUCAACAAUUUAGCAUCUUCAUUGGCAUUAAGAUUAAUGUAUGACCAUUAAUGUACAAACUUUCAAAAAGAAAUUCCCAAAUGUUAGCUUUAUAAAGAAAUAAAUAAAAUAAGAAUUUGAGCCAUCCCACCCUAACAAGGCAUUAAAGUCAAUGCAAAAUCUCAAAGGUUAAAAAAAAAGCCAGUCUCUGAAGUAAGAAAGUGAUAGUAUAGGACGAAAGCUCCUAUGAUUAACUGGCUUUUAACAAGAGCAAGCGUAACUAGGCAGGAUGACCCCCUAAAAUAGAACUUAAAAUGCAUAAAAUAGACCAUUGUUCAUUGAAUCGAUAAGUGUAUAUUGGCUAGGCCUAAUGCAUCUUGCAUUGCAGUCCAAUUUCCCUAACCAUAAGUUCGAAAAUUUUGGGAUCACAAACUGAAUUUUCAAAUAUAGACAGUUUGAUCUCUGGUUAUUGACUAUGAAAGCCUACCAAAAAUAAAACUUCAUCAAAGAGCAACAAAAAUAAUGGGCUACAUUAACUGAACCAGAAUUAAUUUUCAUUGACACCAGAUGCAAUUCCCAAUAUUUUAUGCAUAUAUAAUGCAAAUAUCUACUUCCAGUAUCAAUUUUCUGAAAUUGGCAAAAGAACAGAUGUGAGGAUUCUAUGCCUGUAGCAAAUACAGAAGGGCACAAGAAGAAAUGGGCAUUCACAUUGGCCUAUGCCCAAUAUUAUCCAGAGCUUCAAGCACUGUACAAUAUAAGACAUAGAUCAAGUUACGCUAUUUAGCCCAAUUUUUUAUAAACUUCACAUUCUUGGUAGACAGAUAUUGUCUGUGUGGAUGUGCUCAUCAUGAAUGCAGAAUUCCAGUUCCCUGAUUUAUACCAAUUUUGCAUCAAUUAAUUAUCUUAUAACCAUUGCCCUUUCUUUUUAUUAUUUUCCAGCUCACUAUUUUCACACCACAUUUAACAAGGGGAAAAAGACAUGAAAAAUAUAAGAAAAAGCUUAGAAGUUCAGCAAAAACAAUGGCCAGGAAAGUUAAGAAACAUGGAAAAUACACUAGUCUCGGGAUGCAUAAUUCAAUAAGAAAUGAAAGAUGAAUCCAUCCUUAUGACAGUGAAGUAACAAUUUAACCAUUAAAUCACAUAACUAUAAUCCAUAUUAGGAUGGAUGAGAAGUGUGUAAAUGGCAACUAACAUUGGCAAAGGCCAUUAACUUAGUAUGUUUAACAGUUUAAUAAAUAUUGCAGAAAGUUCAAGCUAACAUGGAUGUUAAGAUUUGAUAAAACUGUGUUGUAAUAUAAUAAAAUGCUGAGACAAGAACAAGUAAAAUAGACAAGUGGGGCUUGCACAGCCCCUUAGAUUUAAUCAAAUCAAUAAAGGAAAAAUUACCUUUUAAACCUAAAUAGGGAAAAAAAGAAAAAACUAGAAAGAAAUAAGGAAAUAUAGAAACAUAUAGUGCAACUAAUACUGACUUGGUAACAAAAAUUCACUUACAUUGAGAGAACAGGUAUUGCCA